GAUGAACGCUGGCGGCGUGCCUAAUACAUGCAAGUCGAGCGAACGGACGAUAAGCUUGCUUUUCUGAUGUUAGCGGCGGACGGGUGAGUAACACGUGUAUAACCUACCUAUAAGACUGGGAUAACUUCGGGAAACCGGAUCUAAUACCGGAUAAUAUUUUGAACCGCAUGGUUCAAAAGUGAAAGACGGUCUUGCUGUCUCUUAUAGAUGGAUCCGCGCUGCAUUAGCUAGUUGGUAAGGUAACGGCUUACCAAGGCAACGAUGCAUAGCCGAACUGAUAGGGUGAUCGGCCACACUGGAACUGAGACACGGUCCAGACUCCUACGGGAGGCAGCAGUAGGGAAUCUUCCGCAAUGGGCGAAAGCCUGACGGAGCAACGCCGCGUGAGUGAUGAAGGUCUUCGGAUCGUAAAACUCUGUUAUUAGGGAAGAACAUAUGUGUAAGUAACUGUGCACAUCUUGACGGUACCUAAUCAGAAAGCAACGGCUAACUACGUG
RNAcentral lists this ribosomal RNA (497 nucleotides) under uncultured bacterium. RNAcentral describes it as "partial 16S ribosomal RNA". It matches the Rfam family "Bacterial small subunit ribosomal RNA", at positions 28 to 507 of the family's 1533-position model. The record is from RNAcentral.